AAAAACAUAGCUUCUAGCCCAACAACUAUUAGAAGUAGCGCCUGCCCUGUGGGACCCCUAAACGGCCGCGGCACCAAAACCGUGCAAAGGUAGCACAAUCAUUUGUCCUUUAAAUGGGGACUCGUAUGAAAGGCAGCACGAGAGAAAACCUGUCUCCUAAGACCAGCCAAUGAAAUUGAACUACCAGUACAAAAGCUGGUAUGCUAAAGCAAGACAAAAAGACCCCGUGGAACUUAAUAACCCGUUUACACAAACUAAACAAUAACUUUAGUUGGGACAACUUUAGAAAAACUUAACCUCUAACACCACCAAGGCCAACAAGCCUGGGACAUUAAAACUGAUCCAGUCACACUGAUCAAUGAAAUAAGCUACCCCGGGGAUAACAGCGCUACCUUCUCAAAAGUCCAUAUUAACAAGAAGACCUACGACCUCGAUGUUGGAUCGGGGUAUCCCGACGGCGCAGCAGCUGUCAAAGGUUCGUUUGUUCAACGACUAACACCCCACGUGAUCUG
RNAcentral lists this ribosomal RNA (512 nucleotides) under Rhampholeon uluguruensis. RNAcentral describes it as "partial 16S ribosomal RNA". It matches the Rfam family "Bacterial large subunit ribosomal RNA", at positions 1809 to 2607 of the family's 2925-position model. The record is from RNAcentral. Lineage: Eukaryota; Metazoa; Chordata; Lepidosauria; Squamata; Chamaeleonidae.